UGGUGGUGCAGUGGUUAGAAUGCAGUACUGCAGGCUAUUUCUGUUGACUGCCGGCUGCCAGCAAAAUCUCACCAGGCUCAAGGUUGACUCAGCCUUUCAUCAUUCCGAGAGCCAUUUUCUUGAAAAGAAAGAGAAAGAAGCCUGAGAAGAGAUGUGUCUGCGCACAGUGGGCAACUUCCAACAAAAUAUCAUCUCAAGCUGGGUUGUGCUAGCUUCAUUAAGUCCUGGUUUAGGAAGUUACAGAAGAUUUGUCCCAAAUCCUCUGCAGAAGGAGAUGACUACCCACGAGCUGCAGAUGAUCCCUAAUACCAAUCAACUUUUGUUGUGCUUUUGGGACGAAAGAGGCUACCUUAUUUGUUCCUGAUUUGAAUGUAAUGAACAAUCUUUACCUCAGUAGCAUCUUGAAGAACUUU
Ahaetulla prasina is the source of this 413-nucleotide long non-coding RNA. RefSeq lists it as uncharacterized. NCBI's taxonomy places the organism in Eukaryota, Metazoa, Chordata, Lepidosauria, Squamata, Colubridae. The transcript has 3 exons. The record is from RefSeq and is a predicted model, not a curated record.